UACGUAGGGGGCAAGCGUUGUCCGGAUUUAUUGGGCGUAAAGAGCUCGUAGGUGGUUUGGUAAGUCGGAUGUGAAAUCUCCAGGCUCAACCUGGAGGGGUCAUUCGAUACUGCCAUGACUAGAGGUCGGUAGGGGAGUGUGGAAUUCCUGGUGGAGCGGUGAGAUGCGCAGAUAUCAGGAGGAACACCCGUAGCGAAGGCGGCACUCUGGGCCGAUUCUGACACUGAGGAGCGAAAGCGUGGGGAGCGAACAGG
RNAcentral lists this ribosomal RNA (254 nucleotides) under uncultured bacterium. RNAcentral describes it as "partial 16S ribosomal RNA". It matches the Rfam family "Bacterial small subunit ribosomal RNA", at positions 524 to 776 of the family's 1533-position model. The record is from RNAcentral.